AUCCAUUGCCCUACUCUUCGCAUCUCAUCACUUCGUCCGCCAAUAUAAGGAUGAGAUCGUUCAGUACGGCAAUGGAA
Non-coding RNA from Caenorhabditis brenneri, 77 nucleotides. NCBI's taxonomy places the organism in Eukaryota, Metazoa, Nematoda, Chromadorea, Rhabditida, Rhabditidae. The record is from Rfam.